GUUGGAGAGAGCAGUCAAGCUUGGAAAGAAAGACCAAAAUUUACUGAUUGAGAAUAUUGUCCAGAGCAAACAGAAUGAGGUUUCCUUUAACAUCAGCUGGUUAGAGGACCUUUAUGAGGAAAUUAUACUGGAAACACAAGGGUCUGGAAUUAUUCUUUUGAGGGGGUCAGAGUAUAUUUCUUGGCCUAUCCUCCACUUCAAAGAGGACCAGCCUUUAUGAUAAGUUGACGGGGGUGAGGGGUGUGUCCCUGCAGGUACCUUGAUCUGGCUGAUGCUAAUCAGAAGUGGCAAACUGGAGAAUAUCUAAUUAUGAAUAUCUCAUGUUCCU
Molecule: long non-coding RNA, 328 nt
Organism: Amphimedon queenslandica
Lineage: Eukaryota; Metazoa; Porifera; Demospongiae; Haplosclerida; Niphatidae
Exons: 3
Source: RefSeq, a predicted model, not a curated record